This 357-nucleotide ribosomal RNA is filed under the name Triticum aestivum (bread wheat). Its description in RNAcentral is "partial small subunit ribosomal RNA". Lineage: Eukaryota; Viridiplantae; Streptophyta; Magnoliopsida; Poales; Poaceae. The record is from RNAcentral.
AUGGAGAGCUUUACAAAUGGGAAUGUUAGGUUAUUGAAGCAUGAACACGGCAUUGUUGCAGAGGAUGAUCUUGACUGUCGGUGGCAGGAAGCCACUGGAGAGGCUGUUUCCGAGGAAGCCACUGGAGAGGCUGUUUCCGAGGUCUCCAACCGCCCUGCACUCACUGUCCAUCCAAUCGGUGUGCCACAUCUGAGGGAGGAUGAGACCCCCCCUCAAGGUGGGAGGCCUGGAUGGGCAGCGGUGCCAAACCCUCGAAUUGGCCCAUGGUUCCGUUUGAUGCAAAAGGUUGCUGCAGACCAAGGUCUUGUUCCAGAGUUUGAGAUUACACUUGAAGUUACUCACCAUGGACCACCAUGA